RNAcentral lists this ribosomal RNA (851 nucleotides) under uncultured marine organism. RNAcentral describes it as "SSU rRNA". It matches the Rfam family "Bacterial small subunit ribosomal RNA", at positions 81 to 933 of the family's 1533-position model. The record is from RNAcentral.
CAAUCCGCUGACGAGUGGCGCACGGGUGCGUAACGCGUAUAGAACCUACCUUUUACUGGGGGAUAGCCCGGAGAAAUCCGGAUUAAUACCCCAUAGUAAUGUCUCAGGGCAUCCUGAGAUGUUUAAAGCUUCGGCGGUAAAAGAUGGCUAUGCGUCUUAUUAGCUAGUAGGCGAGGUAACGGCUCACCUAGGCAACGAUAAGUAGGGGCCCUGAGAGGGGGAUCCCCCACACUGGUACUGAGACACGGACCAGACUCCUACGGGAGGCAGCAGUGAGGAAUAUUGGACAAUGGUCGAGAGACUGAUCCAGCCAUGCCGCGUGCAGGAAGACGGCCCUAUGGGUUGUAAACUGCUUUUGUACGGGAAGAAUAAUACCCACGUGUGGGUAGAUGACGGUACCGUACGAAUAAGGACCGGCUAACUCCGUGCCAGCAGCCGCGGUAAUACGGAGGGUCCGAGCGUUAUCCGGAAUCAUUGGGUUUAAAGGGUCCGCAGGCGGGCCAGUAAGUCAGGGGUGAAAGUUUGCGGCUUAACCGUAAAAUUGCCUUUGAUACUGCUGGUCUUGAGUUGCGGUGAAGUGGCCGGAAUAUGUGGUGUAGCGGUGAAAUGCAUAGAUAUCACAUAGAACACCGAUUGCGAAGGCAGGUCACUAACCGCCGACUGACGCUGAUGGACGAAAGCGUGGGGAGCGAACGGGAUUAGAUACCCCGGUAGUCCACGCCGUAAACGAUGGACACUAGCUGUCGGGCCUUAUGGUUCGGCGGCCCAGCGAAAGUGAUAAGUGUCCCACCUGGGGAGUACGUCGGCAACGAUGAAACUCAAAGGAAUUGACGGGGGCCCGCACAAGCGGU